RNAcentral lists this transfer RNA (76 nucleotides) under Streptomyces platensis. RNAcentral describes it as "tRNA-Gly". The record is from RNAcentral. RNAcentral also lists the same sequence under 1 other name. Lineage: Bacteria; Bacillati; Actinomycetota; Actinomycetes; Kitasatosporales; Streptomycetaceae.
CCCCGGUGCGGAAGAACCCGCCGGCGCUCCCACCGCUGGAGCCCAAGCGUCCGCUGAUCGGCUCCGCGGCCGCGGC